Molecule: non-coding RNA, 2591 nt
Organism: Oncorhynchus mykiss (rainbow trout)
Lineage: Eukaryota; Metazoa; Chordata; Actinopteri; Salmoniformes; Salmonidae
Source: RefSeq, a predicted model, not a curated record
GACAUGGGUACGGUCACCCUAAGCUUUUCCCAGCUAUUAUUGAGAGAAUACCUUCAUUAUGCAAAAAAUAAUAAUCUUACACAAAGUUGUUUUUCUUCUCUCAUUUGUCUCCCUGCCAGCACCUGGCAGAGCUUUCCGUUGAAAGAGGACUCGCCUAAAACAGUUUGGUUGUUUGGUUUUAAUGGAGAUUUCAGAGUGAGAAGGAGAUUCCCUGUAGACUGAAUGAGAACCUGAAGGCCCAGAGCCCUGAGGAGGAGGUGUCAGCCACAGCCCCAGAAGGACAGUGCCCCGCCCCCCAGCAGAGCCAGCCUAUCACAGAGGAGAGACCGUCCUUUGGUGGGAACAGGAAGAAGUAGGAGGCUGGAGCUCCGUCGAUUCUCUCUGUAGCCCAGCAGACACCAGAAUAGAACUGUAUCAGAACGACUGGCUCGGUCUCCAGAAGAGAGAUUGUCCUCUGGUGGGGACAGGAAGAAAUGGGAGGCUGGACCUCCACCCAUUCUCUCCAUAGCUCAGCAGACCAUAGAGGACCGCUGAGCAGACAGUGGGCGAGGUCAUUCGGAUGGACGAUGUCCCCAGAAAAGCGUUUCUCAGCUGCUGGGGAACGUCGGCAUCUGUGAAGAGAAACUCACCGAUCCAGCAGACUUGGAGUCAGUGGUCCUGGAGGCGGGCAAAAAGCGGGCUGCAAAUCCCCCAGCUGGCGUAGAGCAGGCAUGGGAGGAACAGGCCCUGCUGCUGAGGCCACCAGGGGGCAGAGUAACACCAGCAGAAACCAAGGGGUUUGGGGAGAGGGCAGAGAAAUAACCCAAAUCGUCAGCUAUAGUGCCAGUGUGUGAGAAACCUCUGUUUGUGAAGCCGUGCUCCUCGCCGGCCCACCGUCGUACUGCAACUCUGGUUCUUAUGUCAGCCCAGUCGUCCAUGGAGGACUCGUCCUCCUCUCUGGCCUCACGCUCUCGCUCAGUCUCUCCGCUCCGCUCACAACAGCGCCCUCUUCAUCGGUUCGAAGCCUCCGUUGAUGUACAAGUACACCCUCUGGACAGGACGCUGGUCUAUCGCAAGAAAUCAAGAUUGUGUUUAGAGAUGCUGCGGACCUGUUCUCUCCUAGACCUCAGCAGACUGUUCAGCUCAUUACAGGAGGCAGGAGGGGGCAACGGGGCUGUUGCCCCCGACAACAACAACAACCUGGCGAUAGAGACAAUGGAGGAAGAAGAGGCCAAGGAGGAUGAACAAUCAGAGAAUGAGGAGAUGAUGACCUGAGGGAGUUAAGGGCCUCCAUAGAAAGACUCCUACAUGAGGAGCGCAACGAGGAAGAGGAGAGGGGUUAUGAAGAUGGUAACGGGAGCCCUCCAGAGGAAGAGGGAGGAGAUUGCUUCAACGGCAACCCUGCUUUGGAUGAUGAUGAUGGUGAUGAUGAUGAUGACGAUUCUGCUGAGGUAGAGGAGGAGCUGAACGGGAUGGCUGAGGAUGAGGAGGAGAGUUCUAAUUGGAUUCCAGGUGAUGAGGAGGCAGGACACAUACUCACCAACGGACUGGAAGAAAGGAGCACCACAGCAGUGAGAGCCAGCUCCAUGAAGAAUGGAAGACGAGGAGCACCACAGCAGUGAGAGCCAGCUCCAUGAAGAAUGGAAGACGAGGAGCACCACAGCAGUGAGCGCCAGCUCCAUGAAGAAUGGAAGAAGAGGAGCACCACAGCAGUGAGAGCCAGCUCCAUGAAGAAUGGAAGAAGAGGAGCACCACAGCAGUGAGAGCCAGCUCCAUGAAGAAUGGAAGAAGAGGAGCACUACAGCAGUGAGAGCCAGCUCCAUGAAGAAUGGAAGAAGAGGAGCACCACAGCAGUGAGAGCCAGCUCCAUGAAGAAUGGAAGAAGAGGGGCACCACAGCAGUGAGAGCCAACUCCAUGAAGAAUGGAAGAAGAGGAGCACCACAGCAGUGAGAGCCAACUCCAUGAAGAAUGGAAGAAGAGGAGCACAACAGCAGUGAGAGCCUUUUCCAUGGGGAAUGGCAAUCAGACGACAGUGGUGAGGAGGAGGAUGUUGAAGCUGAACAGCAGGACAGCAUCUACAGCCGUCUGGAGGAGCUGCGUUUGAACCUGGAGCAGGAGAUAGGCUUUGAGAACUUUAUAGAGGCCUACAACACGAUCAAGGAUGGGACAUGCUGACCCUCUACCCUCAUGAUGUCAUUUAUGAUCUAUCGUCCAGAAAUGACGGAUGGUAAUUGAAUGUUCAUGUCAUUGUACCAUUAAAGGCAAUUCAUGAGGUUGAGGAUGAGAACAUCAACAUGUUAUUGAACAACAUCCUGGGGACUGAGCACCAGCACCUGUACCCCAACAUCCUUCACCUGGUCAUGGCUGAUGGAGCCUACCAAGAGGAUAAUGAUGAAAUUGGGAUGUGUGUCCAAGCCGCUGGCAACUUUUGACAAUCUACUAGCCAUCCGAUGUCUUCCGAUGGUUGGAGAGGGGUUGGAGCCAGGCCCAGGCACACUUGCAUGGGUGCACCUCAGCCACGGGUGCACCUCAGCCACGCUCAAGGUACUAAACGAUAUCAUAACCGCCAUUGAUAAAAGACAGUACUGUGCAGCCGUCUUCAUCGACCUGG